AUUGAACGCUGGCGGCAUGCUAUACACAUGCAAGUCGAACGGCAGCGCGGGCUUCGGCCUGGCGGCGAGUGGCGAACGGGUGAGUAAUACAUCGGAACGUGCCCAGUAGUGGGGGAUAGCUCGGCGAAAGCCGGAUUAAUACCGCAUACGACCUGAGGGUGAAAGCGGGGGAUCUUCGGACCUCGCGAUAUUGGAGCGGCCGAUGGCAGAUUAGCUAGUUGGUGGGGUAAAGGCCUACCAAGGCGACGAUCUGUAGCUGGUCUGAGAGGACGACCAGCCACACUGGGACUGAGACACGGCCCAGACUCCUACGGGAGGCAGCAGUGGGGAAUUUUGGACAAUGGGCGAAAGCCUGAUCCAGCAAUGCCGCGUGUGUGAUGAAGGCCUUCGGGUUGUAAAGCACUUUUGGCGGGAACGAAAAGGACUGUGCCAAUACCACGGUUCGAUGACGGUACCCGCAGAAUAAGCACCGGCUAACUACGUG
Molecule: ribosomal RNA, 484 nt
Filed under: uncultured bacterium
Lineage: Bacteria
Description: partial 16S ribosomal RNA
Rfam family: Bacterial small subunit ribosomal RNA
Source: RNAcentral